RNAcentral lists this ribosomal RNA (1349 nucleotides) under uncultured bacterium. RNAcentral's name for it is "bacterial SSU rRNA". It matches the Rfam family "Bacterial small subunit ribosomal RNA", at positions 28 to 1381 of the family's 1533-position model. The record is from RNAcentral.
GACGAACGCUGGCGGCGUGCUUAACACAUGCAAGUCGAACGAUGAAGCCUAGCUUGCUAGGUGGAUUAGUGGCGAACGGGUGAGUAAUACGUGAGUAACCUACCUUUAACUCUGGGAUAAGCCUGGGAAACUGGGUCUAAUACCGGAUACGACCAAUCUCCGCAUGGGGUGUUGGUGGAAAGCGUUAUGUAGUGGUUAUAGAUGGGCUCACGGCCUAUCAGCUUGUUGGUGAGGUAACGGCUCACCAAGGCGACGACGGGUAGCCGGCCUGAGAGGGUGACCGGCCACACUGGGACUGAGACACGGCCCAGACUCCUACGGGAGGCAGCAGUGGGGAAUAUUGCACAAUGGGCGCAAGCCUGAUGCAGCGACGCCGCGUGAGGGAUGACGGCCUUCGGGUUGUAAACCUCUGUUAGCAGGGAAGAAGAGAGAUUGACGGUACCUGCAGAGAAAGCGCCGGCUAACUACGUGCCAGCAGCCGCGGUAAUACGUAGGGCGCGAGCGUUGUCCGGAAUUAUUGGGCGUAAAGAGCUUGUAGGGCGGUUUGUCGCGUCUGCUGUGAAAGGCCGGAGCUUAACUCCGUGUAUUGCAGUGGGUACGGGCAGACUAGAGUGCAGUAGGGGAGACUGGAAUUCCUGGUGUAGCGGUGGAAUGCGCAGAUAUCAGGAGGAACACCGAUGGCGAAGGCAGGUCUCUGGGCUGUAACUGACGCUGAGAAGCGAAAGCAUGGGGAGCGAACAGGAUUAGAUACCCUGGUAGUCCAUGCCGUAAACGUUGGGCACUAGGUGUGGGGAACAUUCCACGUUUUCCGCGCCGUAGCUAACGCAUUAAGUGCCCCGCCUGGGGAGUACGGCCGCAAGGCUAAAACUCAAAGAAAUUGACGGGGGCCCGCACAAGCGGCGGAGCAUGCGGAUUAAUUCGAUGCAACGCGAAGAACCUUACCAAGGCUUGACAUAUACUGGACCGCAUCAGAGAUGGUGUUUCCCUUCGGGGCUGGUAUACAGGUGGUGCAUGGUUGUCGUCAGCUCGUGUCGUGAGAUGUUGGGUUAAGUCCCGCAACGAGCGCAACCCUCGUUCUAUGUUGCCAGCACGUUAUGGUGGGGACUCAUAGGAGACUGCCGGGGUCAACUCGGAGGAAGGUGGGGAUGACGUCAAAUCAUCAUGCCCCUUAUGUCUUGGGCUUCACGCAUGCUACAAUGGCCGGUACAGAGGGUUGCGAUACUGUGAGGUGGAGCUAAUCCCUAAAAGCCGGUCUCAGUUCGGAUUGGGGUCUGCAACUCGACCCCAUGAAGUCGGAGUCGCUAGUAAUCGCAGAUCAGCAACGCUGCGGUGAACACGUUCCCGGGCCU